UUGGGGCUGGGGGCUCUAUCUAUACUAUGGGGCUGUAUCUCUCUAUGGGGCUGAGCUGUAUCUAUGGGUCCUGCCCCACACUUGUAGGUCUGUCUGACAUCCCCGGUGAGGCCAUGGUGAAGCUGUAUUGCCCCAAGUGUUGUGUCUAUGGGGCUGGGGGCUCUAUCUAUCUAUGGGGCUGGGGGCUCUAUAUGGCUAUAACUAUCUAUGGGUCUUGCCACACUAUGUAGGUCUGGCUCUAGACAUCCGGUUGAGGCCAUGUGAGCUGUACUCAAGUGUUGUUUAUGGGGCUGGGGGCUCUAUCUAUUAUGGGGCU
RNAcentral lists this long non-coding RNA (316 nucleotides) under Coturnix japonica (Japanese quail). RNAcentral describes it as "lncRNA (ENSCJPG00005001726.1)". Lineage: Eukaryota; Metazoa; Chordata; Aves; Galliformes; Phasianidae. The record is from RNAcentral.